Molecule: long non-coding RNA, 220 nt
Filed under: Lathyrus oleraceus (garden pea)
Lineage: Eukaryota; Viridiplantae; Streptophyta; Magnoliopsida; Fabales; Fabaceae
Description: Pisum sativum (pea) long non-coding RNA (PSAT_LNC015117)
Source: RNAcentral
UUCUCUGUCAGGUAGUCUCUCUCUAGGUUUUGUCCAGGGUUUUGUUCCAAGGAAAACUCAGAGUGUUUUGCUUCUCUUCCUUUUUCUGUCUCUUUUCUGUGUGACUUUUGUUUCAAUGAAACUCUAGUAUUUAUAACCUAAUAUUGGUAGCUUAGUGGGCUUUUGAGAGAGGUCCAAGUCUGAGAUUUUUUCUGUUUCUUUUUUUUUCUUUUUUUUAUUU